RNAcentral lists this ribosomal RNA (1369 nucleotides) under synthetic construct. RNAcentral describes it as "bacterial SSU rRNA". It matches the Rfam family "Bacterial small subunit ribosomal RNA". RNAcentral also lists the same sequence under 1 other name. The record is from RNAcentral.
AGAGUUUGAUCCUGGCUCAGGAUGAACGCUGGCGGCGUGCUUAACACAUGCAAGUCGAACGAGAAAGCACCUUCGGGUGUGAGUAGAGUGGCGAACGGGUGAGUAACACGUGAGCAACCUGCCUCUCACUUCGGAAUAACUCAGGGAAACCUGUGCUAAUACCGGAUACUCCGUACAUUCCGCAUGCUAUGUACGGGAAAGCCUUGUGCGGUGAGAGAUGGGCUCGCGGCCCAUUAGGUAGUUGGUGGGGUAACGGCCUACCAAGCCAACGAUGGGUAGCCGGGUUGAGAGACCGACCGGCCACAUUGGGACUGAGACACGGCCCAGACUCCUACGGGAGGCAGCAGUGGGGAUAUUGGGCAAUGGGGGAAACCCUGACCCAGCAACGCCGCGUGAGGGAUGACGGUUUUCGGAUUGUAAACCUCUGUCCCCUGUGAAGAUAGUGACGGUAGCAGAGGAGGAAGCUCCGGCUAACUACGUGCCAGCAGCCGCGGUAAUACGUAGGGAGCAAGCGUUGUCCGGAUUUACUGGGUGUAAAGGGUGCGUAGGCGGAUUGGCAAGUCAGAAGUGAAAUCCAUGGGCUUAACCCAUGAACUGCUUUUGAAACUGUUAGUCUUGAGUGAAGUAGAGGUAGGCGGAAUUCCCGGUGUAGCGGUGAAAUGCGUAGAGAUCGGGAGGAACACCAGUGGCGAAGGCGGCCUACUGGGCUUUAACUGACGCUGAGGCACGAAAGUGUGGGUAGCAAACAGGAUUAGAUACCCUGGUAGUCCACACUGUAAACGAUGAUUACUAGGUGUGGGGGGUCUAACCCCCUCCGUGCCGGAGUUAACACAAUAAGUAAUCCACCUGGGGAGUACGACCGCAAGGUUGAAACUCAAAGGAAUUGACGGGGGCCCGCACAAGCAGUGGAGUAUGUGGUUUAAUUCGACGCAACGCGAAGAACCUUACCAGGUCUUGACAUCCAACUAACGAAGCAGAGAUGCAUUAGGUGCCCUUCGGGGAAAGUUGAGACAGGUGGUGCAUGGUUGUCGUCAGCUCGUGUCGUGAGAUGUUGGGUUAAGUCCCGCAACGAGCGCGGCCCUUGUGAUUAGUUGCUACGCAAGAGCACUCUAAUCAGACUGCCGUUGACAAAACGGAGGAAGGUGGGGACGACGUCAAAUCAUCAUGCCCUUUAUGACCUGGGCUACACACGUACUACAAUGGUCGUUAACAGAGGGAAGCAAUACCGCGAGGUGGAGCAAAACCCUAAAAACGGUCUCAGUUCAGAUUGUAGGCUGCAACUCGCCUACAUGAAGUUGGAAUUGCUAGUAAUCGCGGAUCAGCAUGCCGCGGUGAAUACGUUCCCGGGCCUUGUACACACCGCCCGUCA